GGUGGGGGCAUCUAUUAAAAGAGAAGUGAGGCUGGUAUCCACAAUGCCUGUUGGAUCUCAGUAGGCACACUCAACCAGGAUGCCGGAGCCAACUAAAAAAGCUGCUCUUCCUGAGAGUCAUCAACCUGACACAAGGCAGGACCUCACUGGUCUCUUCACAGAGAAGCCUCAGAGUGGUGGAGGUGACUGUGGGUGAGAACAUUGCCUUUGUUGAAAGUGGAUGGAUCUGGCCAGCAAGUCAGGAAAGCACCUGCAGCUCAAAGAGCACUAUGACCGCAAUACGAAGGUGUACACAUUCGACAUGCAUAUCAUUGCAGCUAAAGCUAAAUUUGCUGGAGCAUAUCGCUGUGAGGUGUCAUCGAGGGACAAAUUUGACAGCUGUAAUUUUGACCUUGUAGUACAUGUAGCACAGAUGCAGGAGAUGACGCAGGAGAUCUGAACUUCAGUGCUUUAUUGAAAAAGAGAGCUGUUCAUGUGAAUACAGAGCCUGGUGUAGACGUAUGGGACAUCCUACAGAAGGCCCCACCCUCCAAGUAUGAAAAGAUUGCCUUCCAGUAUGGGAUUACAGACCUAAGGUGGAUGCUUAAGAGACUCAAAAAAAUUAAAAAGGAAGAGAAGAAAAGUGCAGCAUUUCUUAGGAAGCCUAUCAGGUUGAAAAGGUGCACAAGAUCAAACUGCAAAUUGAGGUGGCUAAUGCAGAUGCAGAGGUUAAAUGGUUAAAAAAAAAUGGUCAAGAGAUUCAACUAACAGGAAGGUAUCUACUUGGAAAGGCAUCUUUUGAUUUGCUCUUAUUUUAUUAAAAAUAUAAUUGUUUAUCACAAAUAACUGUCUAUUUCUUUGACGCUUGACAACACUGUGCUUAUGGAUUGAUGGACUGCCCUUCCUGCUCUUCACUAUCAACUCAAGCAAAUACAUCUUUGAGAGUAUUGGAAACAAACGCUUCCUCACCAUCAACAACUGUACUCUGGCAGAUGAUGCUACUACAGCUGCGUGGUUGGGGAAGAGAAGAGCUUCACUGAGCUCUUCGUUAAAGGAAAUUUAUCUUUCACAGAUGGAGGUCACUGAGAGAAGGAAAGAGAAAAGAGAAUAGCAGCUUCUACACAUCUAUGAAAUCUAUAAUGAUGCUUGAGCUUAUUUGUCAAAUAUUCUUUCCUCUUGGUUCUGUUUGUACCUUUCAGAGCCUCCUGUCCUGAUCUUGCUUAAUUUAGAGGAUCUGAUGGUAAUGAAAUGAGAGAGUGGAGUUUGAGUGUGAAGGGGCUCAGGUGAAAUGAUAAGCCUGUCAACACACAAAGAACAAGCACAAAAUAUGGACCCACUUAAUAUUAGGUGCCUUUACUGUGUACGGAAGCAUUUGAUACAAGGGAGAAAGAUGUGUUGAACGCACUCGAGAUGAGUCUUUCAAGAACCGCGUUAAGAAAUAUGGAUGUAAGCAUGCCCUUAUCAUUAAUGAUGUGACCAAAGAGGACUGUGGACACUACCUGGUGAAAACCAAUGGAGGCCAAUUUUUAGCAGAGCUCAUGGUUCAAGAAGCAGCUAGAGGCCUAUCAAAGCAUUGCUGACCUGACAGUGAAGGCCAAAGAUCAGGCUCUGUUCAAGUGUGAGGUUUCUGAUGAAAAUAUGAAAGGCCUCUGGUACAAGAAUGGAGUGGAGGUGAAGCAUGAUGCCAGAACACAUAUCACACACAUGUGGCAGGUGUGUGUGAGUUGGAGAGGAAUGCUCUAGGAUUCAUAAGCUCACCAUUGAUGAUGUGAAGCCAGAGGAUGAGGAGUUCAAGAUUGACUAUUGACUCGACAAGAUCCUCCCAAGAUUCACCUGGACUGCAUGGGUCACACAGCUGAGUCCACUAUCUUGGUUGUAGCAGGAAACAAACUGCGACUUGAUGUACCAAUUACAGGAGAUCCUGCCCCCACUGUGGACUAUUUGGACUAAAUCAGAAAAGGAGAUCCAGCUUGUGGGCUUCUGAGCUUAGACGCCUUGACAGGUAGGCAACAUAUCCCAGCCUUAACCAGAAAGUCUGUUGCAGUUCAGUGGGACUUGGAGGUUUGUGCUGAGAUGGGAGGUUGACGGUUUAGUUUCUCACACUAAACAUUUGUCCUGGUUGCCAUGGCUUCACAGCUUCUGCUUUGCUCAUGUAGGAUAGCUCUAAGGAGGGAGAGUUGCAUCCUGAACCAAUGCACACAUGGGCGCUGAAGAGCGGUGAAGUGAGUUUGGGCCUUAAAAAUAAUAACACCAACGUGACACCAUGUGCUUCAUGCUCUGGCUGUGAUGCUGGAUGUCUUUUUAAUGACUCAUGUUGCAUGGUGAUGCAGUCUUGGUCAAUUUAAUCCAGGGAAAUGCUUCACGGAACUAAUGUUCAUAUAUUUGCUUGUCAGUAUUUAUUUCUUUGUUUUUAAAUUUAUAAUUUGCUCUUAUUGAUUGUUUAGUGCGGUCCUUAUCUACGUUAGCUGUAGUUUGUCUUUCCCUGGGUACAAAGGAAAACAAGCUGAUCUUACAUUAACACAAGCAUCAAUUUGAAACACAAAAUAAGUGACACUGCUACAAAAAAAUCAAGUGUUUCAUGCACACUACAUACAACUCUGUAGCCUACUGUGUCAACCAGGUGAAUUACUCUUUCAUGAAGUUUAUAUGGAAUGAGGUUUGAACAUAAGAGCUAAGCACCAUCCAUUCAUAGGAACUAGGGGAGGUAAAGAACAGGUAAUGUAUAACAGCUGAGAUUUCAUAUAUCAGUGGGAUCUAAGGGUGUUUUGGCAUUUACAAGUACUCUUUGAUCUGUUCUGGAUUGUCUGGGUUUUGAUUAGUAAGAUUAGCUGAAUGUGAAAAGCUUUUGACUGAUCCAGAGUGACGUCAUAAAUCUAUUGUUGAAUUCUUUUUUUAACAAGUGGUUGUGAUUGGUGGAUCAGGUGCUGACAGACACAGAUGGGUGUGUCCAUGUGGAGAGGACCAAAGGCCAUUGCAUCUUUACCAUUGUGGGGGCGGAGCGUCAGGAUGAGGGCAUGUACUCUGUCAUUGUUCGGAAUCCUGCUGGAGAGGAUACAGCUGAC
This is a long non-coding RNA of Xyrauchen texanus (razorback sucker), 3041 nucleotides long. RefSeq lists it as uncharacterized. The record is from RefSeq and is a predicted model, not a curated record. Lineage: Eukaryota; Metazoa; Chordata; Actinopteri; Cypriniformes; Catostomidae. The transcript is spliced from 14 exons.